This 200-nucleotide ribosomal RNA is filed under the name uncultured bacterium. RNAcentral's name for it is "partial 16S ribosomal RNA". The record is from RNAcentral.
GAUGAACGCUGGCGGCGUGCCUAAUACAUGCAAGUCGAGCGGUAACAGGCUCUCACAGUUCGCAUAAGUUCCAUGUCCUCGGAUAUGGAUGACAAAACCACAAACAACGGCCGGCUAGCCGGGAAUGGUGGCAGCGUUUAUUAUGCGUUGUGUGAGAGUGCUGACGAGCGGCGGACGGCUGAGUAACGCGUAGGAACGUA